This 72-nucleotide transfer RNA is filed under the name Camelus bactrianus (Bactrian camel). It matches the Rfam family "tRNA". From Rfam's summary of the family: Transfer RNA (tRNA) molecules are approximately 80 nucleotides in length. Their secondary structure includes four short double-helical elements and three loops (D, anti-codon, and T loops). Further hydrogen bonds mediate the characteristic L-shaped molecular structure. tRNAs have two regions of fundamental functional importance: the anti-codon, which is responsible for specific mRNA codon recognition, and the 3' end, to which the tRNAs corresponding amino acid is attached (by aminoacyl-tRNA synthetases). tRNAs cope with the degeneracy of the genetic code in two manners: having more than one tRNA (with a specific anti-codon) for a particular amino acid; and 'wobble' base-pairing, i.e. permitting non-standard base-pairing at the 3rd anti-codon position. RNAcentral also lists the same sequence under 3 other names. Lineage: Eukaryota; Metazoa; Chordata; Mammalia; Artiodactyla; Camelidae. The record is from Rfam by way of RNAcentral.
GAGGAUGUAGCUCAGUGGUAGAGCGCUGGCUUAGUGAGCACGAGGUCCUGAGUUCAAUCCCCAGUGCCUCCG